GACGAACGCUGGCGGCAUGCCUAAUACAUGCAAGUCGAGCGAACAGAUGAAGUGCUUGCACUUCUGACGUUAGCGGCGAACGGGUGAGUAACACGUAAGGAAUCUACCUAUAAGCGGGGGAUAACAUUCGGAAACGGGUGCUAAUACCGCAUAAUAUCUUCUUCCGCAUGGAAGAAGAUUGAAAGACGGCUCUGCUGUCACUUAUAGAUGACCUUGCGGUGCAUUAGUUAGUUGGUGGGGUAACGGCCUACCAAGACGAUGAUGCAUAGCCGACCUGAGAGGGUGAUCGGCCACAUUAGGACUGAGGCACGACCCAAAUUCCGACGGGAGGCAGCAGUAGGGAAUCUUCCGCAAUGGGCGAAAGCCUGAUGGGGCAAUGCCGCGUGAGUGAAGAAGGCCUUCGGGUCGUAAAACUCUGUUAUAAGAGAAGAACAAAUUGUAGAGUAACUGCUACAGUCUUGACGGUAUCUUAUCAGAAAGCCACGGCUAACUACGUGCCAGCCGCCGCAGUAA
Molecule: ribosomal RNA, 513 nt
Filed under: uncultured bacterium
Lineage: Bacteria
Description: partial 16S ribosomal RNA
Rfam family: Bacterial small subunit ribosomal RNA
Source: RNAcentral